UGAGGAAUAUUGCGCAAUGGCCGAAAGGCUGACGCAGCGACGCCGCGUGGGGGAUGACGGCCUUCGGGUUGUAAACCCUUGUCAGUGGGGAAGAAAAAAAUGACUGUACCCACAGAGGAAGCCCCGGCUAACUACGUGCCAGCAGCCGCGGUAAGACGUAGGGGGCGAGCGUUGUUCGGAAUUACUGGGCGUAACGAGCUCGUAGGCUGGGAAUUAAGUCUUGGAAUAAAUCUCCCGGCUUAACCGGGAACAAUUUAGAGAUACUGAUUUUCUUGAGAACAGGAGAGGGGAAUGGAAUUCCUAGUGUAGCGGUGAAAUGCGUAGAGAUUAGGAGGAACACCAGUGGCGAAGGCGGUUCUCUGGCCUGUUUCUGACGCUGAGGAGCGAAAGCUGGGGGAGCGAACG
This 405-nucleotide ribosomal RNA is filed under the name uncultured prokaryote. RNAcentral describes it as "bacterial SSU rRNA". It matches the Rfam family "Bacterial small subunit ribosomal RNA", at positions 355 to 774 of the family's 1533-position model. The record is from RNAcentral.